This 700-nucleotide ribosomal RNA is filed under the name Dyella sp. LLH-Slr-17. Its description in RNAcentral is "bacterial SSU rRNA". It matches the Rfam family "Bacterial small subunit ribosomal RNA", at positions 59 to 748 of the family's 1533-position model. Lineage: Bacteria; Pseudomonadati; Pseudomonadota; Gammaproteobacteria; Lysobacterales; Rhodanobacteraceae. The record is from RNAcentral.
CAGUCGAACGGCAGCACAGCAGUAGCAAUACUGUGGGUGGCGAGUGGCGGACGGGUGAGUAAUGCAUCGGGAUCUACCCAAACGUGGGGGAUAACGUAGGGAAACUUACGCUAAUACCGCAUACGUCUUACGAGAGAAAGCAGGGGACCUUCGGGCCUUGCGCGGUUGGACGAACCGAUGUGCGAUUAGCUAGUUGGUAGGGUAAUGGCCUACCAAGGCGACGAUCGCUAGCUGGUCUGAGAGGAUGAUCAGCCACACUGGAACUGAGACACGGUCCAGACUCCUACGGGAGGCAGCAGUGGGGAAUAUUGGACAAUGGGCGCAAGCCUGAUCCAGCAAUGCCGCGUGUGUGAAGAAGGCCUUCGGGUUGUAAAGCACUUUUAUCAGGAGCGAAAUACUACCGGCUAAUAUCCGGUGGGGCUGACGGUACCUGAGGAAUAAGCACCGGCUAACUUCGUGCCAGCAGCCGCGGUAAUACGAAGGGUGCAAGCGUUAAUCGGAAUUACUGGGCGUAAAGCGUGCGUAGGCGGUUAUUUAAGUCUGUUGUGAAAUCCCCGGGCUCAACCUGGGAAUGGCAAUGGAUACUGGAUAGCUAGAGUGUGAUAGAGGAUGGUGGAAUUCCCGGUGUAGCGGUGAAAUGCGUAGAGAUCGGGAGGAACAUCAGUGGCGAAGGCGGCCAUCUGGAUCAACACUGACGCUG